UAGGGUCAAGCGAACAAGUGCAUGUGGUGGAUGCCUUGGCGAUCACAGGCGAUGAAGGACGCGGUAGCCUGCGAAAAGCUUCGGGGAGCUGGCAAACGAGCUUUGAUCCGAAGAUGUCCGAAUGGGGAAACCCACCUCUUUUGAGGUAUCCAUGGCUGAAUACAUAGGCCAUGUGAAGCGAACGCGGUGAACUGAAACAUCUAAGUAACCGCAGGAAAAGAAAUCAACCGAGAUUCCCAGAGUAGUGGCGAGCGAAAUGGGAGCAGCCUGUACUCUUUAUCUUUGUUGUUAGCCGAACGCUCUGGAAAGUGCGGCCAUAGCAGGUGAUAGCCCUGUAGGCGAAAACAGCGAGGAAGAACUGGGUGUACGAGAAGUAGGGCGGGACACGUGAAAUCCUGUCUGAAGAUGGGGGGACCAUCCUCCAAGGCUAAAUACUCGUGAUCGACCGAUAGUGAACCAGUACCGUGAGGGAAAGGCGAAAAGAACCCCGGGAGGGGAGUGAAACAGAUCCUGAAACCGCAUGCAUACAAACAGUCGGAGCCCCGCUUUAAGCGCUUUGGGCGCGCUCACGAAGUGAGUGCGUCAAAAGACAUCGAGUCUGAAACAGGACAGCUGCGCGCUUAGGGCGGAUUUAAGCGCGAGAGCGCUUAAAGCGGGGUGACGGCGUACCUUUUGUAUAAUGGGUCAGCGACUUACAUUCAGUGGCAAGCUUAACCGAUUAGGGCAGGCGUAGCGAAAGCGAGUCCGAACAGGGCGUUCAGUCGCUGGGUGUAGACCCGAAACCAGGUGAUCUAUCCAUGGCCAGGAUGAAGGUGCGGUAACACGUACUGGAGGUCCGAACCCACUAACGUUGAAAAGUUAGGGGAUGAGCUGUGGAUAGGGGUGAAAGGCUAAACAAACCUGGAAAUAGCUGGUUCUCUCCGAAAACUAUUUAGGUAGUGCCUCGUGUAUCACCUUCGGGGGUAGAGCACUGUCAUGGUUGAAGGGUCCAUUGCGGAUUACUUCGCCAUAGCAAACUCCGAAUACCGAAGAGUGCAAUCACGGGAGACAGACAUCGGGUGCUAACGUCCGGUGUCAAGAGGGAAACAACCCAGACCGCCAGCUAAGGUCCCCAAAUAUUGCUAAGUGGGAAACGAAGUGGGAAGGCUAAAACAGUCAGGAGGUUGGCUUAGAAGCAGCCACCCUUUAAAGAAAGCGUAAUAGCUCACUGAUCGAGUCGUCCUGCGCGGAAGAUGUAACGGGGCUAAGCAAUAUACCGAAGCUGCGGAUGCACAGCAAUGUGCAUGGUAGGAGAGCGUUCCGUAAGCCUGCGAAGGUGCACUGGAAAGUGUGCUGGAGGUAUCGGAAGUGCGAAUGCUGACAUGAGUAGCGAUAAAGGGGGUGAAAGGCCCCCUCGCCGUAAGCCCAAGGUUUCCUACGCAACGUUCAUCGGCGUAGGGUGAGUCGGCCCCUAAGGCGAGGCAGAAAUGCGUAGCUGAUGGGAAGCAGAUUAAUAUUUCUGCACCAUUGUGAAAUGCGAUGGGGGGACGGAUCGCGGAAGGUUGUCCGGGUGUUGGAAGUCCCGGUUCCUGUGUUGGAGAAGGCGCUUUGGCAAAUCCGGGCGCGUAAUUCAAGGGCAUGGGACGAGCCGCUUAGGCGGCGAAGCAACUGGAAGGGGUUCCAGGAAAAGCCUCUAAGCUUCAGUUUCACGAUGACCGUACCGCAAACCGACACAGGUGGGCGAGAUGAGUAUUCUAAGGCGCUUGAGAGAACUCGGGAGAAGGAACUCGGCAAAUUGGUACCGUAACUUCGGGAUAAGGUACGCCCCGGUAGCUUGACUGGCCUGCGCCAGAAGGGUGAAGGGGUUGCAAUAAACUGGUGGCUGCGACUGUUUAAUAAAAACACAGCACUCUGCAAACACGAAAGUGGACGUAUAGGGUGUGACGCCUGCCCGGUGCCGGAAGAUUAAAUGAUGGGGUGCAAGCUCUUGAUUGAAGUCCCGGUAAACGGCGGCCGUAACUAUAACGGUCCUAAGGUAGCGAAAUUCCUUGUCGGGUAAGUUCCGACCUGCACGAAUGGCGUAACGAUGGCCACACUGUCUCCUCCCGAGACUCAGCGAAGUUGAAGUGUUUGUGAUGAUGCAAUCUCCCCGCGGCUAGACGGAAAGACCCCAUGAACCUUUACUGCAGCUUUGCAUUGGACUUUGAACCGGUCUGUGUAGGAUAGGUGGGAGGCUAUGAAGCGUGAACGCCAGUUUGCGUGGAGCCGUCCUUGAAAUACCACCCUGGCUUGUUUGAGGUUCUAACCUUGGCCCGUGAUCCGGGUCGGGGACAGUGCAUGGUAGGCAGUUUGACUGGGGCGGUCUCCUCCCAAAGUGUAACGGAGGAGUACGAAGGUACGCUAGGUACGGUCGGAAAUCGUGCUGAUAGUGCAAUGGCAUAAGCGUGCUUAACUGCGAGACCGACAAGUCGAGCAGGUGCGAAAGCAGGUCAUAGUGAUCCGGUGGUUCUGUAUGGAAGGGCCAUCGCUCAACGGAUAAAAGGUACUCUGGGGAUAACAGGCUGAUACCGCCCAAGAGUUCAUAUCGACGGCGGUGUUUGGCACCUCGAUGUCGGCUCAUCUCAUCCUGGGGCUGUAGCCGGUCCCAAGGGUAUGGCUGUUCGCCAUUUAAAGAGGUACGUGAGCUGGGUUUAAAACGUCGUGAGACAGUUUGGUCCCUAUCUGCCGUGGGCGCUGGAUAUUUGAAGGGGGCUGCUCCUAGUACGAGAGGACCGGAGUGGACGAACCUCUGGUGUACCGGUUGUCACGCCAGUGGCAUCGCCGGGUAGCUAUGUUCGGAAGAGAUAACCGCUGAAAGCAUCUAAGCGGGAAACUCGCCUUAAGAUGAGAUAUCCCCGGGGCUUCGAGCCCCUUGAAGGGUCGUUCAAGACCAGGACGUUGAUAGGUCAGGUGUGGAAGCGCAGUAAUGCGUUAAGCUAACUGAUACUAAUUGCCCGUAAGGCUUGAUCCUA
This 2990-nucleotide ribosomal RNA is filed under the name Paraburkholderia sp. BL10I2N1. RNAcentral's name for it is "23S ribosomal RNA". It matches the Rfam family "Bacterial large subunit ribosomal RNA". The record is from RNAcentral. Lineage: Bacteria; Pseudomonadati; Pseudomonadota; Betaproteobacteria; Burkholderiales; Burkholderiaceae.